This 611-nucleotide ribosomal RNA is filed under the name Micrococcaceae bacterium NiH02. RNAcentral's name for it is "bacterial SSU rRNA". It matches the Rfam family "Bacterial small subunit ribosomal RNA", at positions 79 to 689 of the family's 1533-position model. The record is from RNAcentral. Lineage: Bacteria; Bacillati; Actinomycetota; Actinomycetes; Micrococcales; Micrococcaceae. RNAcentral also lists the same sequence under 1 other name.
CUUGCUGGGGGGAUUAGUGGCGAACGGGUGAGUAACACGUGAGUAACCUGCCCUUGACUCUGGGAUAAGCCUGGGAAACUGGGUCUAAUACCGGAUAUGACUCCUCAUCGCAUGGUGGGGGGUGGAAAGCUUUUGUGGUUUUGGAUGGACUCCCGGCCUAUCACCUUGUUGGUGGGGUGGGGGAAAUGGCCUACCAAGGCGACGACGGGUAGCCGGCCUGAGAGGGUGACCGGCCACACUGGGACUGAGACACGGCCCAAACUCCUACGGGAGGCAGCAGUGGGGAAUAUUGCACAAUGGGCGCAAGCCUGAUGCAGCGACGCCGCGUGAGGGAUGACGGCCUUCGGGUUGUAAACCUCUUUCAGUAGGGAAAAAGCCUUUCGGGGUGACGGUACUUGCAAAAAAAGCGCCGGCUAACUACGUGCCAGCAGCCGCGGUAAUACAUAGGGCGCAAGCGUUAUCCGGAAUUAUUGGGCGUAAAGAGCUCGUCGGCGGUUUGUCGUCUCGUCUGCUGAAAAACCAGCGGCUCUCCUCUCCUGCUCUGCAGUGGGUACGGGCAAACUAAAGGUGCAGUAGGGGAGACUGGAAUUCCUGGUGUAGCGGUGAAAUGC